CCCAUUUUUUGGACGAGGAAACUCAGGCUUUCCUGUGGCCACUGAGCUACAGAACGGGAGUGGGGCUGGGCAGCCGGGUGUCCCGGCCCCUGAGUGCUGAGCUCUGGUCCCCAUGGCAUUUGCUUACAGGCAGCAGGUGGCAGAGGCUGUACCCCAGCCUUUCCCCACGCCCCGGGCACAGAGCUGGCGGGUUUCUCUUGUCCCCAGCCUUUGUCCUGCUCUGACCCUAUGGGUCGUAGACCUUGAAGGCACCAGCCCCACCUUCUGUGAGGCUUGUCAUCCCCUUGGCACUGGGGGCUGUGCUCUGUCCCCAGGGAAGGAGGAGAAGCCAUACCACAGCCUUCAGCCCUUUUGUGCCAAAGUCUGGCCCGUGUGAGAUGAAUGUGGAGGAAUUCGUUCCAUAUGGAUCCAAUUUCUUCUGGAAUAUGCAGCAAAUGAUGCUGGACGAAGGCAGGCUGCCUUGGCUGGACCUAAAAUAUGUGGGCGAUCGCUUCCAAGAUGUUUGACAACUCCAAGACUCGGCAGAACGGGCCGGCAGCACUGGCGGCAGCGACCAGCCCAGGAAUGAGCAACCAGAUGCCGCGGCUCAUCCUGUGCGUGCGCCAGGGACACAUGGACAGGGACCAAGACGCAGGAGAAUUCGGCCCGGCUGGGUGAGGUGCUGGGCAGGGCUGCCUGAGCUUGAGGGACUCCUCCCUCUGAGAGACACGGUGGCCCAUAACGUCAGGAGUGAGGUUUUAUUUUCUUGUGGUGGGACUUGAGCGAGCCUCUUGACUUUGCUGAGACUUGCGGGGGGGUCUCUGUCUGUCACGUGGGGCAGGCAGACCUGGAGAGUAGUGGGCAGAGCCGAAGCAGGCCCUUGGGCUUUACCCCUCUCUUUCCAGGCAUCUAUGUCUCCUCUUCUCAACAUGUACUUCUGAUGGGGGCUGCCCGUCAAAUAGCUCACCCUCUGACUGCAAGUGAUUGGCUUAAAGAUGGGCAUGUGAGCCACACCGGGCCAAUCAGAUCCCUUCCCUGGGAUUUCUGCUCUUGGGCUGGAGGAAGAGGUGAGCCCUGAGCUGACCGUGUCCCCCGCUCUGGGGAGAGGCUGGUCUGAGACAAAGAAGGUGCAGUAAAGAGAGAAGCAGAUGAAGACAAAGGAAAUGUCCAGGUGAGGUUGGCAUCCUGGAGGUCUGUCUCACACCUGUCCUCCUCCCCAGAUUUCUGGUGACAAGAGCGCCAGUUAAAACAUUUUCAUGUCAAAGCCACCGCGUAAGGAACACCUCAGGCCUCCCGGGAAGGAAGUGACGUGCAGGCAGCCCCAGAGGCCUCCGGCUGACGCUGGAGCAGCCUAACUGGCAGCCUGGGGCGGGGCUCCGAACUCUUCUGGAAGCUUUUAUGAGGAAGAAAUAUUCUGUAGCUGAAAAGAAAAAUAAAAUGUUUGAAAACUGUAA
Long non-coding RNA from Manis pentadactyla (Chinese pangolin), 1433 nucleotides. RefSeq lists it as uncharacterized. The record is from RefSeq and is a predicted model, not a curated record. The transcript has 3 exons. Lineage: Eukaryota; Metazoa; Chordata; Mammalia; Pholidota; Manidae.